Long non-coding RNA from Sarcophilus harrisii (Tasmanian devil), 281 nucleotides. RefSeq lists it as uncharacterized. The transcript is spliced from 3 exons. Lineage: Eukaryota; Metazoa; Chordata; Mammalia; Dasyuromorphia; Dasyuridae. The record is from RefSeq and is a predicted model, not a curated record.
ACUUUCAGAGAUGAUGCAAGGGUGGACUGGCAACAGGGGGAGGAAGAAUGAAAGGAACAAGCCAAGCAGGAACAGGAGAGAGAAGACCUAAAGUCAAAGGGAAGAUUGAUCCUCCUCUUUUCUCCUUCCCUAAGGAAUUCAGUCACAGGCUAUGCUGAGCCUACUUCACAAGCACCAAAAUUUCUCUUCUGGAAGUUCAAAUCCUUUUUGAAACUGUGUGGUAACAAUGGAUCCUGACUGAUUCUAAAGAUGAUUAACAAGCUGCUUCUAUUCCACUCUAA